This 684-nucleotide long non-coding RNA is filed under the name Physcomitrium patens. RNAcentral describes it as "long non-coding RNA (PPAT_LNC012895)". Lineage: Eukaryota; Viridiplantae; Streptophyta; Bryopsida; Funariales; Funariaceae. The record is from RNAcentral.
GUCCAUUCUCUCAUAUCAAUAUGAUAACAACCACGAUAUCAAUUUUGGUACCCUAUGUAAUUCAUGAACACACAAGCAUAACCCAAACCCUGGAACGAACAACUUCCAAUCUACAGAAUUUAAUCAAGAUAAUUCCUUCGAUUAUAAUUCCUCUCUACUCAACUCACAACCUUGCAAUAAACAGUGACUGAAAACUUCCAUACAUCAUCAAUCUUUCACAACAAUUGAUAAACAGUGAUCCAUAAAUAACUUUUUAAAUCAAAUAUUGAUUCAUUAAAUCGAUUCUCUUUACUAGAAUCAAUACUAACACAAAAGAAUAAAAAAAAACUAAGAAGAAGAGAUAGCAUCAAGCUUAUCUUGGCUCAAUACUAUCGUAGUCUAGCCUUUUCUUCCUCUCUUCCAUCCUCCUUAUACUAUCCCAAGAUACCAACUACUAUACUAUAGAUGAUAACUACUUUUCCUGACUAUUCAUCUAUUCUACCUGUUGAACCACCUUUUUAGCAGUUAUCUAUCUCUAUUUACAAUAUACACUAGAUAUCUAUAUUCUAAAAAUAACUACUUAUCCUACAUAGCCCCACUCCCAACUAUGCAUCGUUCUCGUAAACACAGUAUUGAUAAACAAAAAUCAAUCUUUUUUUUUUAUUUUUAUUUUUUUUAACUGGAUUGUUCAAUCUCUUCAAAUUU